UACGGAGGGUGCAAGCGUUAUCCGGAUUCACUGGGUUUAAAGGGUGCGUAGGCGGGCAGGAAAGUCCGUGGUGAAAUCUCUGAGCUUAACUCAGAAACUGCCAUGGAUACUAUUUGUCUUGAAUAUUGUGGAGGUGAGCGGAAUAUGUCAUGUAGCGGUGAAAUGCUUAGAUAUGACAUAGAACACCAAUUGCGAAGGCAGCUCACUACACAAUUAUUGACGCUGAGGCACGAAAGCGUGGGGAUCAAACAG
RNAcentral lists this ribosomal RNA (252 nucleotides) under uncultured bacterium. RNAcentral describes it as "partial 16S ribosomal RNA". It matches the Rfam family "Bacterial small subunit ribosomal RNA", at positions 524 to 775 of the family's 1533-position model. The record is from RNAcentral.